This 34968-nucleotide long non-coding RNA is filed under the name Eucalyptus grandis. RNAcentral's name for it is "long non-coding RNA (EGRA_LNC005933)". Lineage: Eukaryota; Viridiplantae; Streptophyta; Magnoliopsida; Myrtales; Myrtaceae. The record is from RNAcentral.
AGAGAGAGAGAGUACGCGGGUGGCGAGCUCGUAAGACUGAGCGUUGUCGAUGAUGGAACCGGACUUGCCUCCACCGCCGCCGCCCUCCCUCCUCUUCUUCUUCUUGCCGCUCCUCUUCUUCGGAUCGUCGUCGCGAGGGACGCCGCCGCCGUUGAGGAGCUCACUCCGAGGCUCGACACCGCUCUCCUCCGCUUAAGCUUCGUGCGCUCUCUUCUUCUUCGGCAUUCCCGCUCUCCGAUAUCAGAAAGUUUCGAUUUUUCAACACGGUACGAGGUCGACCGGUCAAGGGUUUAGCCGUCGAUCUUGGUGGUGUAUUGCCUUUCAGGAUCUAAGGCCUGACAGUUGCAUAGAUGGAAGUGGAUGAGCAGGGUUUAGCAUGUGAGUAGAGUUAGAGGCUAAAGCUAUUAGCGUUAGACGCAAAUGGCAGUGAUCAAUCACGGAGUCAAUUGAGGAAAGAAUUUGAUGCUGAUAUGAGAGUCCCUCUCUUGUUUCCAUCAAAUCUGCAUCUAGUUGCAUUACGGAACAGACCCAAUUCAUUCAAAAGAAGGCAAUAAACGAGAGGAAAUUUCCGGAGAUGGAGGGGCUGAAGAUGAACAGUCCGGAUCAAAUGCUGAGAAGCAGAAUCGUUCUUGGCUUUCGAGAUCGGCGGAAGAAAGACAGAGACUUCUAUGAGACGGUGAAUUCACCCUCCCUCGCCGUACCCUUCCAGGAAAGCGAGGGCUUGCUUGUUGAUUUUAAUCAUCCUAUUAUUUAAGAUUUGAAUAGUCCAAUCAUUGGGAAUUACGAUUGGUUAUAAAUAUUAUAAAUUGAUAAGUAGAUGACGAAGCACAAAAUAUAAGUCAACUUGAUUAUAUUUAUAAAUUAGCUACGAAUAAAACCAAAUAAAUAUCAGAUUGAUAUAUUGAUGCUAAUCAUUCAUUGAAAAAUUGUGCCAUUACGAUUUUUUUUUUUAAACAAUGACAAAUUAAUUUAGAUUUCUACUAACGCAAUAUUGUACUAUAUCUACUAUGAUUUAUAACACAGUCAUAUGGUAAAAUCUGCAUUAAAUUCAUAAUGCACAUGAUAAAUUACUGAUAGUGUUGGAAACUUACAACAACAGUUAAAGUUCACUAAAAUGUUGGUAAAAUUCUGAUGGUGUAAGCAAUUUACUUACAGCACUGAUAAAAUUCCAGAAGAAUUUGUAAUUUGCUAAAUUAAUGAAAAAUUGAUAAAUUUCAGAUAGUAUAGGUAUUUUACUACGGGUGUACCUAACAAGCAAGAACCGGUCAUUUUUUUUUACAAGCACGAUUGCCAGCAAAAUUGCAAUUUCACCAACAGGGAAGACUUUUCAAUUCUCAAGUCCUGCGGGACCGUAGAAUUUUGCCAAAGAUUCAUUCGUCUCCGCCUCUACGACAAAAACUUAAAAGCCCACCUAAUAUUUCAAAUGGUGAAACUUGAAAUGCAAUCAUGAAUUCACUCUAAAGCACAUGUAAAAAUCUGUUUUGAGUUAUCAAAACUAAAGAACCUUUGCGACCAUUGCAAAUGAUCAUUAACUGGAUGAUUAACCCCUACUUCUUCAUUUCUUCAAUGUGGAAAUUUUACGGGAAAUCAACAACAAUUCUGUGAAUAUGGAUAUGGUUGCUAAUGUCUACUUAAAUUCGUGACAUUGAAUGCAAGACAUUCUCAGUGUACUUUCUCAAGAACAUCAAUCUCUGCAAAUGAAUCCUGGAUCAAGUCAUCUUCAAUCCUUGAUCAAUUUCACCGAAAGGCAAAAAUUGCCGUUCAUAUCAAAUGAGGCGAUCAAAUGAGGCGACAAUGCCGGAAGAGUGCUACUACCAAGGACGGAUAGAGCUGCCGCUUUUCAAAGAAAUUAUUACAAGCAAGGGAAAUUUCAAAUUGCCUACUUAGAAGAAUCCAUUUGGAAAUCAUCUCUCGACUCUUAGUACGUUUCUAACGAUUUUCUCCAAGUUGCCUCUAAUUGAAGAUUCAAUUUUUUUAAGUUCAAAUCUGACAGGAAGUUUUUCUGCUUGUCGUAGAAAUAUAUUGAUAUUCACAUCACUUAGUCAUACAAGAACUUUAUAUUACAAACAUGGGAUGUCUUCUCAAAUAGGUUGACAAAGUGAAUGUUGCUCAUUCAUAUGAAAAGUUGAGGUAGGUAGUUGAUGCAACCCGAAGACGAGGUCAGCAAUCUGGAAUAGAGGUAGGUCGAUACAAUCUCCCUCCCUCCCUCCUGAAGUAGGUAUCCAAAGUGAGCUGACGAUCAGGAGAGAACAGGCGUAACAAAGAGAGAGGACCAACAUCAUGCCCUCGUGGAACAGAACGAAGCGCAAGAAGAUGUGGUCACAGUCCCAGAGGGAGAUCCCCGCCAGGUCGAUUCGCACAUCAUGCUUCCACUCGGGGUCGCCAUCGCAUUCCUUGACGGACAGAGUCCCUUGCUACUGGUUCUGGGCGAGCUUCUUGCUCGGGGGUCGUCGCUGACGAUGGAGGAAGAAGGAAAAAACAAAUAGAGUGAGAAGAGAGACGCAGCAGGAGGAGAAAAGAAAAAGGAGAAGAAAGUCAAAAUUUCUGAAGAAGGGUCCCACCUGUACAUGUGGCCAUCGAUUUACGUUCUCAAGUAUAUCCUACAUGGCACAACGUAUUACCCUUCCAAGUUCUUUUGUCGGCCUUGCCAAUUUUUUCAGAUCUCUGUACUUAUCGGAUUCCAAAGUCUACUCGAACUUCUCAGAUUCACCUAUAUAAAAACUUGCCAGAUUCUUGAAGCUUGAAGAAUCAGAUAACUUUUGCAGAGACCCACAGUGAUAAAUAGAAAGCCUCUCCAAUGAUUCUAGCCUAUCUUGAAUCUCAACCAGACCAAGACAAUUUACUAGAUUAAGUAGCUCAAGUUUCUUGCAGUUGGUCAAGUCAGGCAACUUCACUAAGGACGGAAGAUUCCUAAGAUUUAAGUACUUCAAGUGCCCCGAAUCUUCCAGGCCUCGAAUCUCUUUUAGCUUCCAACAGCUAGAUAUAAGGACUUGUUCUAUCUUUUUGAAGCUUAAUGGAUCGGGCAACUUUUCGAGAGAUUCACAGGACAUAAUAUAAAGUAUCUCUAGCGAUUCUAACUGACCUCCAACCUCAACUAGUUUAGGACAAUUUAAUAUCCACAUUCCCGUGAGCUUCUUCAAGUUGGUCAAGUCAAGCAACAACUUCACCAAAAAUGGAAGAUGAUCAAAAUGAAGCCAUUUCAGGUUUUCCAAACGUGCAAGACCUUGAAUCUCAAUUAGCUGUUCACAAUUAUUGACUUCCAAUUUUGAUAACUUUUCCAAAUAUGAAAGAUCUAUUAAAUUUCCAUUAAGCUUUGCCCAAAAAUACGGAGGUGUGACAAAUUCUGGGGAAGCUUAGGUAGGCAUUCUAGCUUAUCUACAAGGAGUUCAAGCUUCCUGAGCUUAGAAAGGAGAUUAAAAUCUGAAGGUAGGGUGGCUAGACUAUGACAACACAACAUCAAGGACUCCAGCUUUCUCAAUCCUCCGAUCCAAUGGAGGCUUGGAGCUGCAUGGAAUAGGGCUCCAUACAUCAAACCCAACUCCAAAACUCUCAAAAUUAAUAGGUUUGAGAUAUCUAGCAAUCUCAUCACUGACCUGGUUGUAAUGUAUAGAUUGGUCAAACUUUCAGGAAGCUUAGGUACUUUAGAAAUUAUCAUGUCCGAUAAUCUCAAGAUCCUCAGCAAUGGUAGUCUUCCAAUCUCACUAGGAAUUUCCUCCAAAUUUCUACAAUUUUCGGCAUCUAUCUCUUCAAGCUUCUCCAACAUUCCAAGGGCACUAGGUAGCUUUCUUAAGUGGGUGCGAUGCAGUCUUAGUACUCUCAAAUUCUUUGCCACCUGUAAUGAAGAGAAGAUGUUAAUUCUGGACCAUUUUGAGAUACAAGACAGCAGAGUCAAUAUAGCAAAUUAAUUGUGAAAUAAUACCAUACCUUGAGGUGGUUCCAUCCCUCCCAAUCAUUUGUAAUUUUGCUCCAUGAUAGAUCAAGAAUCACUAGCUUCAUACGGGAAAAUGCGGUCAACUGGAAAAAAGAGAGGAAACUCAUGCCAUGAGAGAUAUCUCAAAUUCUGAAGGAUGAGUAGAUUCCUUUGGAACCAAUUGGUUGGAGGGAAAUACUGAAUGAAGUUAUGCCAUGAGAACCAUCUCAACUCCGAAAGAAUGAGUAGAUUCCUCAGGAACAAGUUGGUUGAAGGAAAAUGCUGAAUGAAGUUAGGCCAUGAGAGCCACCUCAAAUUCGGAAGGAUGGGUAGAUUCCUCCUAAACCAGUUGGUUAAAGAAAAACACUGAAUGUUGUUCAUAUCCAAGUCUCCACAUUCCACUUGAAGAAACCUUAAAUUUGAUAGACUUUCAUAUUCUUCAUGUUGGAGUUUUGUUUGUUAAAACAAAAGGAGUGCUUUUUUCUUUGUCCCAUAGAGAAAAGGUAGGAGGAAGUGGGCCGAUUUUAAAAUGUGGGAUUUCCUUUUUGUAGUUAAAGGAAUGAUUGGGUGGGGCUAGACCCCACCAUACCCGCGUGUGGGUGCGCGAAUAAUUGCGCGAUUUUGGCGUGAUUAUUUGGCGCACUUAGCACUUUGCACGCCCGUGGAUUAAUUAGCACUAAUCCCUUUGUUAUUUAUUUAUUUUUUUGUUAUUAUUUUUUUAUUCAAUUCAAAGGUUGCCUUUUAUUUUGAAAAUUUUCAGAAAUGAAAUAUAAAAAUGAAAAUUCGAAAUUUUAUUUAAAAAAUUAUUACUCAGAAUUUUGUUUGUGUCUUUUCAAGACAACCUUUGAAAAAUUACUUAUUCGAUUUUGCAACUUUUCCCGAAGGGUUGCAAUUUUUCGGUUUUCAACUUCUUCCGAAGAGUCGCAUUUGUUUAUCCGAACAAUUUUCUAAAGGAUGUGUUUGUUCAUUCUUUGGCAAUUUUCACGAAGAGUUGCAAGACUGUUUCAUAUAUAUACUUGUUAAUUUUCGGAAGGAAAAAGUGAUCAUUUUUUAGUCUUCUUUUAGAAAAACUGCAGCUAAUUUUUCGAUUGUUUCCUAGAGAAACCCUAGAGAAAUACUAGAAUUGAUAUCUAGCAUUCUCAUCCGAGACUUUGUUGUAUCCUGGAGGACUUUUGCCAGUGACCAUUAGCAACGUUGUGGGGCAAAUAAAUCUUUAAAGAUAGUAAUAUCAUGCCUCAAAGUCCGAGUUGUUUUACUCGAUCUGAUUGCUUUGUCCAACCCAUUUCGAAGCCAUAUUUUUCCAACAAUUUUAAGGAUUUAUCUUGCUACAAUGGAGUCAGAGACAAUCAAAGUUAUGAAUCAAGAUAUGGUCAAACUAGACCGGUUCGAUGGGAACAAUUUUGCUCGCUAGAGGGACAAGAUGAUGUUCUUACUCACUGCUCUGAAGAUCUCCUACAUACUGGAUCCUAACUUAGCGCCUAUAGAAGAUCCUAAGCCUACUUCCGAUGGAGGACUUGGCGCCUAUAGAAGAUCCUAAGCCUACUUUCGAUGGAGGACAACCAAGUGCGGAAGCCAUUGAGAGGGUUAAUAAGGAAAAGAAGAAACGUGUGGAGGGUGAAUUACUUUGUCAAGGACACAUUCUGAAGACACUCUCCGAUCGUCUGUACAACUUAUUCAUUGAAAUGAAGUCGGCCAGAGAAAUCUGGAAUGCAUUGGAAUUCAAGUACAAAGUGGAUGAGCAAAGUACCAAUAAAUAUCUAAUCGCAAAGUAUUUUGAUUUCAAGUUUAUUAAUAUUAAACCCUUGCUGGAACAAGUCCAUGAAUUGCAAGUGAUUGUGAAUAAGAUUCGUGCCCUCAAGAUUGAUAUUCCAAAAGCUUUUCAAGUUGGAGCAAUUAUUGCGAAAUUGCCUCCAAGUUGGAAAGAUUAUGGAAAAAAGGCUGAUUCACAAGUCGGAGGACUUUACUUUGGAGCAAAUACAGAAACAUCUUCGCAUUGAGGAAGAGUCACGUUUACGUGAUAAUUCUGUUUUGUACAAUUCCAAGGUGAAUGUUGUGGAUAAAAAACGAAAACUCGGCCAGAACUUCAAAGUAAAAAGCGGGGGGCAUAAAUUCAAGAGAACACAAAAGAAGCAAAAGGGUUGCUAUUUUGUUUGUGGUAAACAGGGACACUACGCUAAGGAUUGCAUUCACCGCAAGAGCAUUUCAAAGGACAAGAACAUUCCGGUGAUGAAAGCAGAUGCAAAUCUGGUUGAAGAAAAUUAUGUAGCCAUGAUUUCAAACAUGUUUUCGAACAUGGAAAUUUUUGAAAUCAAUGAUGCGAUGGCUAUGGUUUUUGAAAUUAAUUCUCCCAUUGUCCAAUCCGGUUGGUGGAUAGAUUCUGGAGCAACAGUCCAUGUGUGCAAGCACAAGUACAUGUUCAAGCAAUUUGAAGAGAUUGUUGACUCAAAUGUUCAAGAGAUCCUGAUGGCGAAUAAUGCUCUUGCAAAUGUUGCUGGAAAAGGCAUGGUGGAGAUAGACUUCACUUCUUGAAAGAAGAUAACUCUUCUUAAUGUGUUAUUUAUACCCGAAAUUAGGAAGAACCUAGUUUCUAUUGAUUUACUUUGUAAGAGGGGGUUUCGGGUUUUGUUUAAAUCCGACAAGGUUAUCCUGUUGAAAAAUGUGUUGUUUGUUGGGAAGGGUUAUGCCAAUGGUGGCAUGUAUCAACUGAGUAUCAAUAAUAAUAUUUCUAGUUCUGCUUAUAUUGUCGAGUCUUCAAUUUUAUGGCAUAAUAGGUUGGCACAUAUAAAUAUUCGUUAUUUGAAGAAUAUGAGAAAAUUAGACUUGAUAAAUUUUAAUGGCGAAUUUGAUAAAUGUGAAAUAUGUGCUAAGUCAAAACUUACUAAGAAGCCAUUUCCUAGUGUUAAAAGAAAUUCGAAUUUAUUGGAUUUGGUUCAUAGUGAUAUAUGUGAAUUUAAUGGUAUGCUAACACAUGAAGGUAAAAUGUAUUUUAUUACCUUUGUGGAUGAUUGCAGUAGGUUCUUAUAUGUUUAUCUCAUGAGAUCAAAGGAUGAAGCAUUUACCAUGUUUAAUAAAUAUAAGGCUGAAGUAGAGAAUCAAUUAGAAAAGAAAAUUAAAGUUCUACGAUCAGAUAGAGGUGGAGAAUAUUUCUUAAAUGAAUUCUCUUCAUUUUGUGAAGAACAUGGUAUAAUUCAUCAAGUUUCAGCACCAUAUACUCCACAACAAAAUGGUUUAGCUAAAAGGAAAAAUCGAUCUCUUGGAGAAAUGGUUAAUUGUAUGCUUUCAAAUUCAAAGCUACCAAUUAAUCUUUGGGGAGAAACAUUACUUACUGCAUGUUAUUCAUAAUAGAAUGACUUCCAAGAAAAAUGACAUAACCCCUUAUGAAAUAUGGAAAGGUAGAAAGCCAAAUUUGUCAUAUCUUAAAGUGUGGGGGUGCUUGGCAUUCUACCGAGCUUCAGAUCCUAAGAGAACAAAGCUCGGUCCUAGAGCUAUCAAAAGUGUUUUUGUUGGAUAUGCUGAAAAUAGUAAAGCUUAUAGGCUUCUUGAUUUAGAGUCCAAUGUCAUAGUAAAAUCAAGAGACGUUGAAUUCUUUGAGAAUAAAUGUUUUACAAGUUCUGAAAUUAUUGAAAAUAAUUCAAGAUUUAUGGAAACUCAAAGUGAUUCUCAAGAGAAAGAAACGAAUGAUUCUAAAGACAUGAUUGAACCAAGGAGAAGUACUAGAGCUAGGAAAAUAAAAGACUUAGGUCCUGAUUUUAUUACUCAUGUUUUUCUUGUUGAAGGAGAUUGAGAUAAUAAUGUGGUAAAUAAAUACCCUUUAGUAUUAAAUUUAGAAAAUGAUCCUAGAAGCUUUGAUGAUGUUAUGUCUUCUAGAGAUGCUUCCUUUUGGAAAGAAGCUGUGAAUGAUAAAAUGGACUCAAUUAUGUCCAAUAAUACUUGGGUAUUAGUAGAUUUACCAAAAGGAUCAAAACCUAUUGGGUGCAAAUGGGUUUUUAGAAGAAAAUAUCAUUCUGAUGGUUCUAUUCAAACUUUUAAAGCUAGGCCUUAGCUAAGGGAUAUAGACAAAAAGAAAGAAUAAAUUAUUUUGAUACAUAUGCUCCUGUUGCAUGUAUAACUUCUAUUCGAGUUCUUUUUGCUCUAACUUCCAUUUAUGAUCUUUGUGUUCAUCAAAUGGAUGUUAAGACUGAUUUCUUAAAUGGAGACUUAAAUAAAGAGAUUUACAUGGAACAACCGGAGGGUUUUGUUCUUCCUAAAAAUGAAAGAAAAGUAUGUAAAUUGAUUAAAUCUCUUUAUGAACUUAAGCAAGCUCCUAAGCAGUGACAUAAAAAGUUUAAUUCGGUCAUAUUGUCAAAUGGUUUCAUCAAUAGCAGUGCCGAUAGGUGUAUAUACUCUAAAUUCACUAAAGACUAUGGUGUCUUAGUGUGCUUGUAUGUUGAUGAUAUGCUUAUCUUUGAAACGAAUAUGACUGGAAUUAAUGAGACUAAGAAGUAUCUAACUUCCAUGUUUAAAAUAAAGGAUUUGGGUGAAGUAGAUACUAUCUUAGGUAUUAAAGUUAAGAAACAUAGUGGGGGUUAUUCUUUAAGCCAAUGUAGUUAUGUUGAAAAAUUAUUAAAUAAAUUUCAACAUCUUGAUUUUAAAGAAAUAAGUACUCCAUUUGAUUCCAAUAUUAAAUUAAAUUAUAAUACUGGUAGAGCGGUGGUAUAACUAGAAUAUGCAAGUGCUAGAGGGUCUUUAAUGUAUGUGAUGCAUUGUACUAGACCCGAUAUUGUUUAUUAUGUAUGCAAGUUGAGUAGGUAUACUAGUAAUCCAAGUACAGAACAUUGGAGAGCUAUUACUAGAAUUUUUGGUUAUCUUAAGAGAACUAAAAAUUUAGGAUUGUUCUACAAUAAUUAUCCGGUUAUAUUAGAAGGAUACACUGAUGCUAGUUGGAUUACAAGUGUGGGAGGUGAGCGUUCCACUUCUAGAUGGAUCUUCACACUAGUUAGAGGUGUUGUAUCUUGGGCGAGCAAGAAACAGACAUGUAUAACUCACUCAAUAAUGGAAUAUGAAUUUAUUGCUUUGGUGACAGCCAGGAAAGAGAAUGAAUGGAUUAGAAAUUUGUUGUUGGAUAUCAAAUUAUUUCUAUCCACUGUGAUAGUCAGGCCACUUUGGCAAGAGCCUAUAGUAACACCUAUAAUGGUAAGUCUAGACAUAUUAGUCUAAGACAUGAAUAUGUGAGACAAUUAAUUAAAAAUUGUACCAUAACAAUUAUCUAUGUGAGGUCAAGUAAAAAAUCUUGUAGAUCCUUUGACGAAGGCUUUACCAAGACAUAUGGUAAUAACUACCUAACAAAAAAUGGGGCUGAAACCCUUUAAUUGAAAUCACCAAUAAUGGUAACCUGACCUUUUUCUAGAACAUCACUAGUUACAAGGUUUAAUAGUGCGGAGUAAUAUAAAACUUCUUGCUAAAAUAAGAGGUUAGUGUAUGUGCGAUAUGUCUGGUUCUAUUACAUAAAAGUACAAGUUUAAAGCCGAACUACUUGUCACUUUGAUAGAGCUUUGAUAUACUUACACUAAGUAAAUGUUUAACUCGAAAGAGACCUUUAUGUAUGUAUAUUAAUCUUACUGAAAAUUUGGCUAUAUGGUUUUUUAAAAUUUUAUUUUUGAAAUCUUUGUUUUACAAACAAAGUGGGGGAUUGUUGGAGUUUUGUUUGUUAAAAGAAAUUGAGUGAUUUUUUCUUUGUCCCACAUAAAAACGGUGGGAGGAAGUGGGCCAAUUUAAAAAUGUGGGAUUUCCUUUUUGUAGUUUAAGGAAUGAUUGGGUGGGGUUAGACCUUCACCAUACCCGCGUAUGGGUGCGCGAUUUUGGCGCGAUUAUUUGACGCACUUAGCACUUUGCACGCUCGCGGAUUAAUUAGCACUAAUCCCUUUGUUAUUUAUUUAUUUGUUUUGCUAUUAUUUUUUUUAUUCAAUUCAAAGGUUACCUUUUAUUUUGAGAAUUUUCAAAAAUAAAAUAUAAAAAUGAAAAUUCAAAAUUUUAUUAAAAAAAUUAUUAUUCUGAAUUUUGUUUGUGUCUUUUCAAGACAACCUUUGAAAAAUUACUUAUUCAAUUUUGCAACUUUUCCCGAAGGGUUGCAAUUUUUCGGUUUUCAACUUCUUCCGAAGAGUCACAUUUGUUUAUCCGAACAAUUUUCUAAAGGAUGUGUUUGUUCAUUCUUUGGCAAUUUUUACGAAGAGUUGCAAGACUGUUUCAUAUAUAUACUUGUCAAUUUUCGGAAGGAAAAAGUGGUCAUUUUCGAAUCUUCUUUCAGACAAACUACAAUCAAUUUUUCGAUUGUUUCCUAGAGAGACCCUGGAGAAAUACUAGAAUUGCUAUCUAGCAUUCUCAUCCGAGACUUUGUUGUAUCCUGGAGGAUUUUUGCCAGCGACCAUUAGCAACGUUGUGGGACAAAUAAAUCUUUAAAAAUAGUGAUAUCACGCCUCAAAGUCUGAGUUGUUUUACUCGAUCCGAUUUCAUUGUUCAAUUCAUUUCGAAGUCAUAUUUUUCCAACACUUCCUUCUUAAAGAAGCAUUGAGAUUGAUGAUCAAACUUGAGACAUAUGGCUUCAGUGUGUCUUGUUCCCUGCCAAAGAAAAAAAGGGAAACAUAAGUUGGUUAUCAUAUAAUCACCAAUUGAAGGCAUACGAGUUGAACAUACCCAAGAAAUGGACAUCUUAUUCAUAAUUUGAAAUUAAUUUACAAUAUGAUUUAUAGAUGCACAUGUGAUCACAGUAACCACAUAAUUAACUUCUCGGUUCAGAUAAAAGCAAAUAAGCAAAGUCAAUGUGUAUAACCCUUCUCUUUGAAUAGGAAUAACAUGGCAAACACUUUACCUCCUUUCUUUUAAGAACAUCAAUUGCUUCCUCAUGAUUCCACACCUGACUUUGCUUCUCUAGUUUAAAAUUAGCUCUUUCACGAAUGAUAUCUUGCCCAAGGUCUCUUAGCUGAUUAUGCACCCACAAUUGGUUACCUUCUACAAUCUUCAUUAACGACAUCCAUUUGAGGACUUCAGGAGAAUAUUUAGGGAAAAGCUUACAGCUGUCCCAUAUGUAUGUCACAAUUCUCACAUCAAACCCAACAAAGAAGAAGCAAAUAUCGAGAAAUAUUUCAUUCUCUUCAAGUUCUACUGCCUCAAAACUAAUGUUCAACUUACUUUUAACCCUUUUAUUGGGAAUAGUUUUCAAUUUUUCUAAUGUGUCCACCCAAAAUUUUCUGUUCUUUCCAGCUAAAAAUGAACCUAUAAUCUCUAGAGCCAAAGGAAGACGACCACAGAUUUCUACCGCUUUUUUUGAGAGGGGGAUGUAUUCUGCUGGAGGAUGAUCUCUUCUAAAGGCAUGUUUGCUAAACAGUAGAAGAGAAUAAUUGAAAUCCAUUUCAGUAAGUUCGUGCUUCAAAUCAACAUCUUUGAGAACUUCCUCAUUUCUUGUGGUAAUAAUAACCUUAAUUCAUCUACCGAACCAGCAUUGACCCGUCCCCACAAGAGCCUCCAGUUGAGUGCUUUGGUCGACAUCAUCAAAUACAAUUAAAAUAUUUUUAGAGGAUAACCUAUUCUUGAUCUCAGUAAUUCCCUCAUUAAUACUAUUGAUGGAUGGCCAUUCCAUUCUUAGGACUUUAGAGAUGAGCUGAUUCUGCAAACUUACAAUCUUUGUCUCUCGAAUGUUAGACAAGAAGCAACAAUUAUCAAAAUCAGCCGACAGUUUAUUAUAGACAAUUGUGGCAAGAGUUGUCUUUCCGACACCACCCAUACCAUGGAUACCAACAAUAUUUGUUCCAGUGGUCUGUUCACUUAUCUUUUCCAUGAUUUGGUCUACUUGAUCAUCCAUUUCAACCAAGCAAUUAGAUACUGCCAGGUAGUUCUUUUUCAACUCGAUCAAAAGCUUCCAAACAACUUCUUCGGUGAACUCACAUUUGCCUCUGAUAGUAGUGAUGGCAAAAGAACCCAACUGUUAAAUCGAGAUGAGCAAAAUAAUAUCUAAGGUACAAACAAAUCCUGAACAAUAAUAAAUUCAAGUACCUCUCCUUGAGUUCCCAUCCUCUUAACGCUCCAACCUUGCUAAGAGCUACCUUCCAGUUAUGAAUAGUCUCAUCAGUGUACCGCCACUUAUUUAUGUGUAAAUUAAUGGCCUCACCGUAACUUCCAGUUUGGUUACGAACCUCGGAUGGUGCUAUGUUGUAGAAAAUCGGCAUAAUCUUUCGUCCCCAGCUUUCCUUGCACCCCACCAUUUGGACCAUGGACUGGCAGCAUAUCAUUUAGAAAGAUAGAUGAGGACUGAGGAGUACAUACAUCCUUUGGGGGCAGUACCUGAUCUUAAUAAACAGCUAACUCUAUCAUUUCAGAGUUAUCCUAAAUUGCAUACCCUAUUAGUAAACGAGUAUAUCGCAUAGCAAUAAAUAUGAAAUGCACUGGCACGUACAUACCAAGUGACUAUAUCUAUCGCCAUGUUUCAAACAUUUGCAAAUAAACCUACAUGCUUGUUUAACAAUGGAUGCGAUUACAUUAAUUAGUUUAUCUAUACCUUGAGUCGUUGGGGUAGAUUUGUCAUACACCUACCCUGGAAAAAAGGGGCUACAAGGUUCGUGGUAAUUUAAGUGCGAUUGCAACCCAAACCACUUUGAGAGCCCACUCCUGAUGUGACCGGCAGUACUAAACUAUGUUUCUGGAGCUUCUUAGGUUGAUGUCCUUUGAAUUUUGUGAUUGGUGCGAAGAUGACAUCUCUCUUGCAAAUGCACGAGAGAAGUCAGUGCAAUCUGCUAAAUGUAUGAGAGUGGUUGGCCCGUCCCCAGCAGAACCGCUCGAACGAUUAUCAAAUACUGUCGCAGAACCCAGGAUGUUCUUUUUAUAUAUCUGCUCUGCCCUUCGGAGUAGAAUACAAACAAAAAUCAUGUAAAGUCGCUGAGAGAGGUGAACUACUCUGCAUUUUAUACAGUAACUCCGACCCCAACAUGAUGUGGCCCGACGACAUUGGUGCUUCAGGGGUUGUUGCUCAGAGCAGAACACCGAACUGCUUCAAAAGGGUUGGUGAGACCAAAUCGAGUCAAUUUUGUAAUGGACUCAGUCAUCUUUCACUUUCCGAGGUCAUUGUCCCGCAUAUUGUAAUGAACUCAGUUUACCUCCAGAGACCGCCCAUGACGUCCGGCACAGUGCCCGCUAAGAUUGUAAUGGAUCCAAUGAUGGUGAUGUUAUUGCAACUGCUAUCGCGUGAGGGCUCACUACCCUAGCUAGGACCUCGAGGAGUAUUGCCAGCCCUUAUUGGGACAACAUAUAAACCCCCAAUUAUUCUCCCAUUCCCGAGCUCUCGUCUCUUUGCUGCCUUCAUCAUUUUCUUUGUUUUUUGUCUUUCAAAUUUGAUGUUUAUUUUUCAAUUUUUAUGAUUUUUACUUGUUUGUAGUGCUCUUCAAUUUUGUGACGUGACAUUUCAUGGAACAAUUUUGUGUUGUACCAAAAAGAUUGAAAUGACAAUUAAGGGAAAUGAACUAAAAAAUAAUUUAAACCUAUUAUAUUGGUACUAAUUCAAUUCUAAAUCUUUAAAUUAGAUUAAUUUAAUCAUGGAUUUUUUAUAUUUGUGCCAAUUAAGUCCAAUCUGUUGAUUUGAAAGUUGGCUGUUUUAUAAGACACGGCUAGCGUUGAUAUGGACAAAUUUUAAUUCUUUUUAAAUAUUAUUUUUUUCCCUUUUCAUUUUGGCUAGUGAGGAUAUGCAUUCCCCUAUGAUGAUCUUAUUGGAAAAGUGAAAUCAAGAAAUUUAACCGAAGCUAAUUCAACCCUCACCGUUGGACUAGUUUCUAAAGAGCAUAAACUAAUCUCUAAUUAGAGUCAUCUCUUAGUAUGUUAACAAACAGGUACAGGGUCAAUGGGUGAGCAUUAGAAGCUAUCAUUCUCAUUUGCCAGAAAGUAUCAACAUAUCAGAAAAAGGAGUCAAUCACUAACCAAUGAUGGGGUUGAUGAAAUUUCCACAGAAAAAAGAAGCAUGAAUGCUAUAACCGUUUCUCUGGAAAAUAAGUUUGAACACACAAGAGUGCAGGAACGAGAGCUGUAUUUUACGGAAACGGAGAGUUCCGGUUCACCACAGAGUGCAACAUUAUAGUCGAUUCAAUCUAUCUCUACUAUUAAAUACAGAGUUGAGGGUAUCAAUUUCUGCCUAGGAGCGUUCUUACUGCUAAUCACUAGACAAUAAUGUACGAAUUUGUCAUAUGGGAGUCUCUUAAAGAUACCGCUGUCUCUGUUCGCAAAGAAAUUUAAAAACAAAUCCCAUCAAACGAAUGAAAUCAACAGAUCCACUCAAACUAGUAUAGCUUUUAGCACCGGCCUAGUUCCUAAAGAGCGUAAAUCUAAUUCCUAAUUACGGAAAUCUCUGAGAUCUAUCAACAAGCUGAUGCACAGAAGUGGCAUUGUGUUUCAAGAUCUGAGGCCUGACAGUUGCACAGAUGGAAGCAGAUGAGCAGGGUUUAGCAUGUAACUAGAGCGAGAGGCUUAAGGCUUCUAGUGUUGGACGCAACUCGCAGUGAUCAAUCAUCGAGUCAAAUGAGGAGAGAGUCGAUGCUGAUCUGAGAGUCCCUCUACUGUUCCCAUCAGAUUCUGCCCCUAGUUACAUUACUGAACAUACCCAAUUCAUUGAAAAAAGCAAUAGAUGAGAGGAAAUUAGCAGAGAUGGAGGGGGUUGAAGAUGAAGAGUCACGAUCGAAAUGCUGAGAAGGUGACUUGAUACUCACCCUUUCGCGCCGACCGCAAAGUACAGAAAAUGAGGGAAUCCGCCUUUCUUUUGAGGCAUUCGAGGUUUUUUUUUUUUUUUUUUUGCUCGGUCCUACUUUAAUCAUAUUCUAACACUCACUCUCAGACUUGGGUUACUUCGAAAAAACUCCCGAGUCCAAAGAGUUUUUGGCUCUAAAGUCUUAUUUGUUUAGAAAUCAUAAUGACGAUGAAACCCCUCUUUUUUUUUUCCUUUUUUUUUUUGGUGAAAUCGUGGAUCCAUUUAAAUUAUUCAUGAAUGAAACCUACACAUUUUAAGUAUUUCAGAUGGAUUAUAACAUGAAGUUAUUCGCAGUAAAUUUACAAAACAAAAGUUUUUUAAAUAAUAAAAGUUGCAUUCAGUUAUUAAAAUCUGAUUUGUUUCGCAAAAAAAUGAAUGAUUGAAAACAUAUUUUUCAAAAAAUAAUUAUUUAUAUCACUUGAAAUCCUUAGUUAAUGAAAUAUGUUUUUAUUAUCAAUAACAAUUUAUGCAUAAAUAUUUUUGUGAAAUAUUUUUUAUUCAUUUAUUUUUGUAAAGGAUACAAGCGAUUAUUUUUCAGAAAAUAUUUUUCAAAUUAUUCAUUGUUCCUUAAAGAUCCAAAAAAUUUAUCAUGCAAAUGAAAGUUUAUCAAUCAUGGAUGGUUUGAGCAGAACUUCUGCCAUUUCUACUUUCCUUUCGCAAAUCUUGGGCAAUGUCCACAUUACCACUAGAAGGAAUCUUUAAAAAAAAAUUUGACCAAGGGAUUUUUUCUUUAAAGUAGUUAUCAUAUUUUUUAGAUUUGAAUAGUCGAAUCAAUAGAAAUUAGGAUUGGUUAUAUAUAUAAUCAUGAAAAUAUUAAUAAUGACGAAUUACAAAAUAUUAGUCAACUUAACUUAUUUUUUUAUUAUCUAUGAUUAAAGUAAAAUAAGAACAAUAAAUCGAUGUAUUGAUGCUAUUUAGUCAAUUAAAAAAAAUAAACCAUUAUAAUUUUCUUAAUUUUGAAACAAUGGCCAGUAAAUUAAUUUAAAUUUCUAAUUUCGAGAUAUAAUGCUGUAGAAUAUCUAUAUUAUGAAGAAUAUGCAAUCAUAUUGUAAAUAAUAUGUUAAAAGCUGGUAUCUUUUUUUCAUUACAUUCUCAAAGUUUGUUUUUCAUACAAUCAAUAAAUGAGUCACUGUUUUGCUCCACUACCUAUAUCUAUGUUAUAGCUCUCCUGGGAAUUCAUCAAUUGACAGUAAUGUGAGCCCUCGCUCUAUUUGAUUUCAUUAAUGCUUCGAUUCAUUUACACAUUAUAUAUAUAUAUAUAUAUAUAUAUAUAUAUAUAUAUAUAUAUAUAUAUAUAUAUUAGCAUACAAAACACAUUGCAAAUUUGCAAGGGAGAGAUAUGCACAAUAUUUUGUAUGCAUCGAAAUUUAAUUAAUCCUCGUCCAACUAUAUUUGUGUUGAUGUGAGCAUUUGUAAUUGAUAUAGUAAUCGUUAGUACACUGUUUUUCUUUUACAGAGAGCCAAGCUAAUUAAUAAAAUUAUAUUAAAUUAAACUAUAUCGAUUUGGAUUCGCUUUUACUUUCUUUUUCUUUUUAAAUUUUUGCUUCUGUAAUUUACACUGCCCACGGACUUUAAGUCUUUUUCGAAGUCCCGAAACUUUCACAAUAGUUGGAUGUUAACACGUACAUUUGUAUUUAUUCAUUUCAUAAUUUUUUGAAAUCCAAAUUAUAUUUCAACUUUUGAUAGGAAAAUAAAUUUUUUUUUUUUUAAGUCCAAACAAAGUGGCGUUAAAGCUGUUAAUUUUCGCCAUUUCUUUACGAUUUCACUUCGCGUGCUGGAUGUUUAGGUGAUACGAUGCUGAAAGCACCGUUUCCAUGGGGGAGACAACUGGUGCACUGCCAUGUUCUUUAAUGAUAUCGUCCCGAGUCCCAAUUAUCGAUCGUUAUGUCUCUCUCAUCGCCAGAAAGCGCUUGACUUGUUCGAUGAAAUGCCGCAGAGGGCUCUUGUCUCUUAGAAUUCAUUGAUUUCUGGGUCGUCCCAUCAUGGGUUUUAUGAAGUCUCUGAGUAUCUUCAUGCAGAUGCAAAGAAAUUAUGAUCGUCUGUUCAUGGAUGAAUUUACUUUUGUGGGUGUUGUGGCUGCCUGUGCUCACUUGGGUGCAUUGAAGUUCUUGCUUCAAGUUAAUGGAGUUGCCAUCAUAAUGGGCUUGGAAUUUACUAAGAUUACUUAUAAUUCUCUGAUUGAUGCUUAUGGGAAAUGUGGUGGAGCCGAUAAAUGCCGUGACUUGUUCGAAGUUAUGCCUGAGAAGGAUAUUGUGUUGUGGACUUCCAUGGUUGUUGCUUAUUCGCUAGCUCAUAACUUGGAUGAUGCUUGUGCAAUAUUCAACAAUAUGCCAGCGAAGAAUACGGUCUCUUGGACUGCAAUGAUUGCAUGCUUUGCACAAAAUGGCCGUGGUGAUGAAACUUUGGACCUUUUCGUUCGAAUGCGUGAGGAAGGAAUACAGCCAAGUCCUCGUACUUUUGUCAGUGUUCUAUGUGCUUGUGCUGAUUGAGCACUUGCUGAAAGAGGCAAGCAGAGUCAUGGUUGCAUAGUCAGGACCUGCUUUGAUAGAGAUUUGGAUAACAUAUCUGUAUGGAACGCUCUAAUUGACAUGUAUUGCAAGCGUGGCUACAUGAGAGCAGCUGACAUCUUAUUCUUGAGGAACCCAGAAAGGGCUAUUGUAUCAUGGAACUCAAUGAUAAGUGGAUUUUCACAAAAUGGUUUAGGGCAUGAGUGACUUGUUUUUGUCAAGAAGAUGCUGGAGGCAAAUGCAAGAUUCUACCAUGUCACAUUUCUUGGCACUCUAUCUGCUUGCAGCCACGCAGGUCUAGAUGUUGAAGCACUUCAGAUUUUCAAUGCAAUGGAAAAGGACUACACAGCCUUCAAAAGAGAUCCGACCACUAUGCUAUUUUGGUCGAUCUGCUCAGGAGGAAAUACAGACUUGAGGAAGCCAUGGAAUUGAUAGAUAGUCUCAAACAAAUCAGAGCAUGUUGUGCUUUUCGGUUAAUGCAAAGCCCUCGGUAAUCUUGUUAUUGCCUGAAGCUGUGGAUAUCUAUUGAAGUUGAACCCCAAAAUGCUGCGAAGUAUGUGUCACGUUAUCAAGCAUCUAUGCUGCCAUUAACAGAUGGGAUGAUUCCUGCACAGUAAGGAAGCAAAUGGAGGAGAGAAACUUGAUGAAAGAUGUGGCAAACAGUUGGAUUGAAGUAAAGUAUGAAAUGCACAAAUUUCCAGCAAAGGACCGAUUCCACUAUCAGAUAGGAGACAUACACGAAGUGCUCGGGAAACUACCUUAUCAUAUGAAGGAAGCUGGAUAUGUUCAUGAGCCCCACAUAAGGCUCAUAUAUUUUAAUUUGAAUCUAUCUAAUUUAACCUCAAAUGAUGUCUAUAAUUUUUUUUUUUUUAUUGCUAUACUAUAAUCAAUACUCUCAGCCCAUAAAUCUAUCCUAUUUUUGCUGAGUCCUCUGAUCUAGUUUUUAAACAGAUACACAGAAACACUGAUCUAAAUGUCCCUUAACUCGGAACCUGACCAAUCUAUGAUUUUUUUUCCUUUUUGUGGGGUUAAGUCUAAACUCAGGAAGCGAGAGCACUAAGUCUAAACUAAGAGCUCAAGUUCACGUUGGAUAAUUUAAUCCAUGGGGUAUGUAUGAAUAAUCAAUAAAAUAGAUUCAAUGAGAUGACAUUCGGCUUAAUACUUAAAUGCACAAAAAUGAACAUACUAUAUGCGCAUAUACCACCACAUAGUAGCUCAUCCAUAUAUUCAGAUGAGUAUAUUCGUUAUUCGUCACUGCUUGUGACUCAUCUUGACUAAUGGGGCACCGCCACCACCAAUUCAUGCUCAUUGCACAACCGUCUAUGGCAUACUCAUUCUCCUCAAUAUUCAUUCUCACUUUAUUAUCUUUAUUUUCUCAAUCUUGAACCUCAAGUUUAUAAUAUCACAUAGCAAACUACUCAAGUCAUAUCAAGCUGCACAAAUAAUAUCAUUUUAUAUAUGAAUCAGGGGAAUCAGGAAAACAAACUAUAGUGUUGGCAUAUUAUUGACAAUACUUGUAGAAAUUCAAAAGAGUUUGUAAUUUGCUUAAUUAUUAGAAAGUUGGUAAAAUUCUUGAUAAUGUUGGCAAUUUCUUUUAAUUUAUCAGUAAAAUUUCAGAGGAGUGGAUAUUUUACGACUUCAUUCGAAUGUUGACAAAUUCCUCAUAGUGUCAGUAAUUUACUUACAAUAUCAAUAAAGUUCAGAAAAAUUGGUAAUUUAUUAAUUCAUUGGAAUGUUGGUAGAUUUCCAGUGGUGUUGGUAAUUUAUUAAUGAUCAGGUUUCAAGUCAUAACAUUUUACCAGCAAGAUUGGAAAAUUACUAGUAAGAUUGGAAUUCUACCAAGACAGAAAGUUUUCAAUUUUCCACAGCAUGGGACCGUAAAAUUUUGCAUAGCUUCAUAAGUCUCUACCUCUGCAACAAGAACUUAAAUCCCAACUGAUAAUUUCAAUUGUUGAAACAAGAAACGCAGUAAUGAAUCAUUCAGAAGCCCCUGUAGAAAUCUGUUCAAAAUUAUCAAAACUAAAGGACCUUUGUGACCAUUGCACAUGAUCAUUAACUAGGGAGGGUUAUGUUCAUGCUAGACACGAUGUUUUGCCCAUACUUCUUCAUUUCUUCAAUGUAGAAAUUUUCAGGGGAAAUCAGCAACAAUUCUGCAAAUACAGUCGCUGAUGUCUAAUUAAAUUCGCAACACUGAAUGCAAAACAUUGCACAUUAAUCUCCGUGAACGAAUUUUGGAGCAAGUCAUCUUGAAUCCUUGAUGAAUUUCUCCCGUGACGAGAUUAAUUACUAACUGCACCGCUAAACAUUUUAGAAGUAGGACCACAACAGACCAAGAGAAAAAGAAAGAAAUUGCAGAACCAAUCUACUAUAGUAAGGUUUCAUGCCUUCCAGGACAAUAUUUCGGUUUUAGCUAGACCUUGACAAGCUCAGAAGAACAACCGAUUCCCCAUGUAUGUUUUGAACUAGUUCCUAAUCCCCUAAUUGGUGCAGAAGUGAACUGACGCACAGGAGUUGCAAUGUGUUUCAAUAGAAUGUGACUUGGUUAAGGCUAAAGCUAUUAAAGAUUAGAUGCAGAUGGAACAAAAUCAAUCGAGUGAGCUGUCGAGGGAGUUCAUCGAAAGGCUGUUUUCAUUGCGUAUGUAUGAUAAGUCAUGACUGAAAAUAAUAAAAACCAACUCAAUCCGUUCCAAAUAUUUUCCCAAUCUAUCACUGAUUGCAUCGAAGAUUCGCACGCAGACCCAAUUCAUGCAAAUGCGAAGAGAAAAUUACCAGAAGAAAAGAAUAUAGGCGAAGAUGAAGGAAACCAAAUGAAGAUGCAGAGAAGGAAGAACCCUCGUUGGCCUCAGUUAGCUGCAACCAAAACGGAAAAGGAAGAUCACAAUCCAUUAACCCCUCGGUGGGAACAGAUCGGGGUGGCAGUCCCCGGAGGGAGAUCUCCGCCUGGUUGAAUCGCAUCUCGUUCUUCCGCUCGGGGUCGCUGCCGCUGCUGGUUCUGGGCGAGCUUCUCACUCACGUCGUCGCUGGUGAGGGAGGAAGACGAAGGAGAAGGAAAGAACGUGAGAAGACACAGAGAGAGCAACGGGAGAAAAAACGAAACAAAUAUAAAAAAACACAGAGACAGAGAAAAAGUUUAAAUUUCUUAAGAGUGGGUCCCACCUUUAUGCGUCAUCUCGAGAUGAUAUUCCUCACCAAUCUCCUACGGAAUCUUCUCUCCCUGAUUUCAGUACCCUCCCCCUACUUCUUUGGAAGGGUCUUCGCACUUUUUUCAAAUCUCGGUACUCAUCGGAUUCCAUAAUCUCCUCCAAUCUCUCAGAGUCUUUUAUUUCCAAAUCCUCUAGCUUCUUGAAGCUUGAAGGAUCAGAAAACUUUUGCAGAGACCCGCAGCCAUCAAUAAGAAGAAACAUCACUGAUUUCAGCCUACCUCGAACCAGACGAGGACAAUGCAUUAAUUCAAUAUGCUUAAGCUCCUUGGCGUUGGUCAGGUCAGGCAACUUCUCUAGUAACGGAAGAUCGUCCACACAUAAGACCCUCAAGUUCUCUGAAACUUCCAAGCCUUGAAUCUCUCCUAGCUUCCAACAGCCAUCUAUAUCCAAUUCUUCUAUAUGCUUAAAGCUCGAUGGAUCAGGCAGAUGUUCAAGUGAUUCACAGCAAGUUAAAUGGAGAGACUCCAAUGAUUCAAGCUUACCUCAAACCUCAACCAAUUUAGGACAAACUUCUAUCCAAAAUCUCCAAAGCUUCUUUAAGCUGGUCAGGUCGGGCAACUUCACCAGCGAUGGAAGAAACACAAGAUCAAGCCUUUGCAAGUUUUUCAAAGGUUCGAGGCCUUGAAUCUCUAUUAGCUGUUCACAAUACCAGAUUUCCAAUUCUGAUAACUUCUCCAAAUAUGAAAGAUUUAUUGACUUUUCUGUUAACCCGUGCCCAACAAAAUGGAAGUAUGACAAAUUCUGAGGAAGCUUAGGUAGGCAUUCUAGGUUAUUUUUGAAGAGUUCAAGCUUCCUGAGCUUCAAAAGGAGAUUAAAAUCUGAAGGUAGGGUGACCAGACUAUGACAACACAAUGACAAUGACUCUAGCUUUCUUAACCCUCCGAUCCAAUUGAGGCUUGGAGCUGGAUGGGAAGGCCUUUGAUACUCCAAUCCCAACGUCAAAACCCUCAAAUUUAAUAGGUUCGAGAGAUCUGGGAAUCUUAUUAGUUCAUUACUGGUCAGGUAUAGUUUGGUCAUACUUUCAGGAAGCUUAGGUAUAUUGGAAAUUCUCGUGCCCGAUAACCUGAAGAUUCUUAGAAAUGAUAGUUCUCCAAUCUCACUUGGAAUUUCCCCACACAAACGUCUACAACAGGUAAAAUUGAUCUCUUCAAGCUUCUCUAACAUCCCAAGGGCGCUAGGUAGCUUUUCUAAGUCGGACAUAAACAUCCUUAGUACUCUCAAAUUCUUCAUUGUCUCUAUUGAAUUAGAUAACUCUCAUAUUUUCGACCCAUAAAGAUUCAACUCAACGAGAGAUCCAAAAUUUCCAAAUGGAAGUUCACUAAUUCCGGUAUCCGACAAGUCAAGAUAUGAUAGUGAUGUUGAGCAACCAGCUAAAUUGCAUUCGCUCAGUAAUCUACAAUGUUUUGCACUAAGAGUUUCCAAUUUCUCCAUUCCUUUCCAUUCAGGAAUGUUGGUAAUAGAUGUGCCAUCAACAAGGAGUUCUGUCAAGGCUUCUAGUUCCUCUAUCUCGUCUGGCAAUGUCUGAAAUUUACUAUAAUAAUUCAAGUUUAAUAACACUAAAUGCUUUAACUUACCAAUAGACCUCUCAACUUGAACUAGUUCCACGCACCCUUCAAGAAUCAAUUGCUCUAACUUUUGAUGAGCAGAAAAUUUAGGAGUUCUAAGCAACUUUUUGCAAUCAAUCAAAUUUAGAACCUUCAAAUUCUUUGUCGUCUGUGAUGAAGAGAAGAGGUUGAUUUUGAAUCAUUUUGAGAUAUAGGACAGCAAAAUCAAUAGAGCAAAUUCAUGUUGAAAUAAUAUCAUACCUCGAGGUGGUUCCAUCCCUCCCACUCAUCAGUAAUUCCACUCCUUGAUACAUCAAGAAUCACUAGCUUCUUAAGAGAACAUGCGGUGAACUUGUGAAAGACAGGGAAGUUAUGCCAUGAGAGCCAUCUCAAAUUCGGAAGCAUGAUGCACAAGUUGGUAGAAGGAAAAUGCUGAACGUUGUUCUCAUCCAAGUCUACACAAUCCACUUGAAUAAAUCUUAAAUUAAUAGGCUUAAAGAUUCUUCCUUCUCAAUGAAGUCUUGAAAUUGAUGAUCAUAUUUGAGACGUAUUGUUUCAACAUUUUCUCUUCCCUGCCAAAGCAAAAAAAAUAAAACAAAAGCUAGCGAUCACAUAAUUGCCUAUUAAAGGCAUUCGAGUUGAGCACACUUGAGGAAUGCACAUCUUAUUUAUAAUUUAAAAAAAAUACAAUAUAAUUUACAGAUCAGCAUGUGAUCAUACUAAGCACACAAGUAAUGAAUAGGUUUAGAUAAAAGCAAAUAAGUAAAGUCAACAUGUAUAACUCGUCUCUUUGAAUAGGAAUAAUAUUGCAAAAACUUUACCUUCUUUAUUCCAAGAACAUUAAUUGCUUGCUCAUGAUCCCACACCCGACUUUGCUCCUCUGGUUUAUAAUCACCAUUCUUACAAACGAAAUCUCGUCCAAUGUCUCUUACAAUAUCAUGCAUCCAUAGUCGGUUAUGUUCUAUAAUCUUUAUUAAUGACAUCUUUUGGAGGACACAAAGAUAAAAGUCAGGUUGAAACCUACAGCUUUCCCACAUGUGACUCACAAUUCUCACAUCAAACCCAAUGAAGAAGCAACAAACAUCGAGAAAUAUUUUCCGCGCUAGUGGGUGUAAUGCCUCGAUACUAAUGUUCAAUUUUUUUUCAACUUGUUCAUCGGGAAUAGUUUCCAGCUUCUUUAAUGUGGUCUUCCAAGAUUUUUUGUCUUCCUCAGCUAAAAAAGAACCUAUGAUCUCAAGAACUAAAGGAAGACCACCGCAAAUUUUUACUGCUAUUUUCAAGAGGUUGAUGUAUUUAGCCGAAGGAUGAUCACUUUUAAAGGCAUGUAACAGUAUAAGGGAAUGAUCAAAAUUCAUUUCAAUAAAUUUGUGCUUCAUAUCAACAUGUUUGAGAACUUCCUCAUUUCUUGUGGUGAUAAUAACCUUACUUCCUCUGCAAAACCAGCGUUUAUCCAUCCCCACAAGAGCAUCCAGCUCAGUCUUUUGGUCGACAUCAUCAAUUACAAGUAAGACCAUUUUAGAGGAUAAACUCCUCUUGACCUCAGUUAUCCCUUCUGCAAUGUCAUGGAUUGGCAGACAUUUCCCUUUUCGGAGAGUAGAGAUGAGUUGAUCCUGUGAAUUCAAAAUUCCUUUAUGUCGAACGCCGAACAGGAAGCAACAGUUAUCAAAAUUAGCCGACAAUUUAGUAUAGACGAUUCUAGCAAGAGUUGUCUUUCCGACACCGCCCAUUCCAUGGAUACCAAUAAUCUUUGUUUCAGAGGUGUCUUCGCCUAUCAUUUCCAUGAUCUUGUCCACUUGAUCAUCCAUUUCAACCAAGCAAUCAGGUGCUCCCAAAUAGCUCUUUUUCAACUCAAACAAAACCUUAGAAACGACUUUGUUCUUGAACUCGCCUUUGCCUCUGAUAGUUUUGAAGCCAAAGAGCCAACUGUUAAAUUGAGAUGAACAGAACAAUAUUGAAGGUACGAACCAAUUGUGCACAAUAAUAAAUUCAAGCACAUCUUAUUAAGUCCGCAUCCCUUUAAUUUUCCAACCUUGUUGAGAGCUACCUUCCAGCUCUGAAUAGUCUUAUCAGUGUGCUUAUUCAUGUGUGACUGGAUGGUGUCACCGUAGGUUGCAGUCUGCUUACGAACCAUCCGUGGUUCAACGUCAUAGAAAAUUGGUAUGAUCUUUUGUCCCCACUUUUCCUUGCACUCCACCAUCUAAGUCAAUUCCACGAGGCACCAUUUACUAGCAGCAUAUUCUUUACAAAAGAUAGGAAUCGAGAUUUUCGACUGCACCAUUCAAAUUUUACAUAUAUUAAACCAAAAAAUAUAGAAUUCAUAUAUUUUAAUUAUGUCAAAAUUAUACACAAUAAGUUCGUAAAAAAAAGAAAAUUAGAAAAAAUAACAUUAUUAAUGUCAUAACUUUCAUACAAUACUCACCUAAUGCUAUAACUUUUUUGGGAUUGGUUAGGUAAUAUAAUUUUCAUCUGACAUUCACUGAAAUGCCAUAAUCUUUUAUUUUUUGCACUUGUUCAAAUUGUUUACCCAAGAAUGAAUGUUCCCACAAGGACCGCUGGUCUACCGCUGUCCUUGGUUCUCCACUAUUUGACGCUUCCUCUUUUCUCCAAAUUUUAAAAUUUUUCUUUUUAAUUUUUUCUUAAAAAUUGAUGACAUGGCAGCUAUAUCAAUGCCUCCAUCUUCAAGGGAAAAAAAAAUCACGUUCGUUUUUUCUAUUAGCUGAAUUGGAUGAAAUUAAUAACAAGACUUGAUUGCACGAAUUUAAUGAAUUUUAAAAUUUGAUCGUACUUUUUGCAAGGGAUAAUAACACAAAUGGUUUUUAAACUUUGACUUAAUAUGUAAUGUCAUAUUUAGAUUUGUAAUUUAUUCAAUAUGAUCUCUAAAAUAUUGAUAGAUGUUCAAUUUAGUCUUUAGAUUAAAUGUGCUAUUUUCAUAUAGUUUAACGACUAGAUUAGAUAUUUAUUAAUAGUUCAUAAAUCACAUCAAAUAAAUUAAAAUUUUUAAAAAUGACAUGACAUAUUUUGCCAGAGUUUAAAGAUCACAUUAAACAAAUUUCAAAUUCAAAGACCGGCUGCUUUUGCAUAAUCUUUUAUUUUUUGCACUUGUUCAAAUUGUUUACCCAAGAAUGAAUGUUCCCACAAGGACCGCUGGUCUACCGCUAUCCUUGGUUCUCCACUAUUUGACGCUUCCUCUUUUCUCCAAAUUUUAAAAUUUUUCUUUUUAGUUUUUUCUUAAAAUUUGAUGACAUGGCAGCUAUAUCAAUGCCUCCAUCUUCAAGGGAAAAAAAAAAUCACGUUCGUUUUUUCUAUUAGCUGAAUUGGAUGAAAUUAAUAACAAGACUUGAUUGCACGAAUUUAAUGAAUUUUAAAAUUUGAUCGUACUUUUUGCAAGGGAUAAUAACACAAAUGGUUUUUAAACUUUGACUUAAUAUGUAAUGUCAUAUUUAGAUUUGUAAUUUAUUCAAUAUGAUCUCUAAAAUAUUGAUAGAUGUUCAAUUUAGUCUUUAGAUUAAAUGUGCUAUUUUCAUAUAGUUUAACGACUAGAUUAGAUAUUUAUUAAUAGUUCAUAAAUCACAUCAAAUAAAUUAAAAUUUUUAAAAAUGACAUGACAUAUUUUGCCAGAGUUUAAAGAUCACAUUAAACAAAUUUCAAAUUCAAAGACCGGCUGCUUUUGCAUACCCGCUCACCAUGGAAGUGGCUGACACUAUAUUUCUGGUAGGCAUUCUAUCAAAAACUGCUCUGGCCUCACUAAUUCUGGAGCACUUAGAGUACAUAUCAACCAAUGCAUUUCCUAAAACAACAUCUUUCCCAAAUUUGUCACAUUUUACAACACGGGCAUGAAUUUGCAUCCCUUCCUUAAGUGCUGACGAGCUAGCUCAGGUGCUGACCACACUGGCUAAAAUAACCUCAUCUAUUUCGAACCCACAAUCCAUCAUGCUCACAAAAACCUCAAGAGCCUCGCUGGCGGGACCAUUUUGUUCAUAACACGUAAUCAAGCUGUUCCAAGAAACUAUGUUUCGAGAACUCAUUUCAUCAAAAGCCCUCUGUGCACAAGCCACGUUCCCACACAGCCGAGCACUCAGACUUCGAUAUCAAAGCCUGAAUCCGUUGGGCCAGAUGCAUAUCUGCUAACCCGGCACAUGCGCUAAGCACACUACCAAAUGAGUACUCAUUAAGCACAUAAUUCUCCCUAUGCAUCUUACCAAAACAUUGCAGGGCUUCUUCGAACCUUUCAUGCUGCGCAUAACCUGAGAGCAUCGAAUUCCCGAGCACUGGUCGGGUUCCGGCAUUGACCCGAAUAUCUUUUCCACUUCAUCAAGAGACCCCGAUCUGAUCAACCCGCCUAAGAUCGCGUUCCACGUGAAGGUAUUCUUCUCGGGCAUUCUAUCGAACACCCUGCGGGCAUCGUCGAGGCACCCGCAUCUCGCGUAGACGUCGAUGAGCCGGUUCUGGAUAAAAACCUCGGCGGAGAACGGGGUCUUGAUGAUCCGAGCGUGGACGCGGCGUGUGUUGCGCGCUGACUUGGACAGGCCGCAGCCGUCCAGGAGCUUGGUGAACGGGGUCGAGGUGGCGAAGGAGAGGUCGCCCGCCAGAGCCUUGACCCGCGCAUGCCUCGCCAUUCCAUCAUAUCAUCGUACGAGGCGAAAUCUGUCGGAGUAGAUUUGCAAAUUGAAUGCGACUGGGGGGUUUCUGUUGACCGUUAUAUGCUUCCCCCCUUCAGCCAGGCGCGGGAAUAUGAUACGAGCGCUCGUAUGAAGUGGGGCAAAGUUGCGGUGGCAGAAUGGUAAUUUAGCAUAACAAUCUAAUCUAAGCUAUAAAUUGAAAUAUGACAUAUAUUUAAUAUCUUGUUGUAAGUCACUAAAUUAUGAUUAGUCAUACUUAAAAUCUAUACUUAUUGCUUUAUCAAUUAUAAUUAUAAGUUUAAGAUAAGUCAAUUUAAUUUUAUUAAGAGACUGCCGGAUUAUUCACAAAUAAAACAUACAUUCUUGUUUAGUAAUUAUGAUCAUUCUAAUUGUAACUCAUUCUCGCCAAAAAAAAAAAAUUUGUAACUCAUCAUUAUAAAAAUGCAAAAACCAAUACUAGAGACUGAAAAUUAGAUCUAUGCCGGAUUUGAUGGGAUAGCUUUUCAUUGGCCCCCUCCCUCGAGGAAUAGCUAACCUUGAUUUAUGAAAAUAGCUAUUUCUUUUAUGCAACUAAUCUUGAUUUACUUCUUGACCAACUAACGACUAAUUGUCUCCUCAUGAAAAGAUUGAAAAAUGAUGUAGCUAUUGUGAUAUUUCUAUGUUAACUCUCUUUUGAGGUAAUGUCCGUUUUAUCUCGUCCCAUUUCAAAUCUCAUAGUUUUGUAUUUUGGCAUAUAAGCAGACUUUUUCCCAUUUUAGUAGUGUUCUAACUUGACUAUGCUUAACUUUGGGUAAAACUACCAAGAUAGGUGACUGUACUUUCAAGAGGCCACCCAUCUUGAUCUAACUUGACCACACUUAACUUUGGAGUGGAACUAUCUAUUGAUCUCAUGGGGAAGUGCUUGCUUGCACGCCAGAUGAUAAAAUUGUGAGGCUUGAAAUGGGAUGGGUGCCAACAAAUAAUAUCACGAGUGAAUUAAUCCAGAAACAUCACAGUUAUUUGUCCUCGAACAAAACAUGCAGUUGGAUUUUCGAUUAAGACGUAUCUUCUUCUAGUAAGGUCUGUCCCUUUUGUUUUGUUUUGUUUAGUGUUUUUUGCUUCUUCUUUUUUUUUGUUAAAUAUAUAAUUUAGACAUUGUCCUGUUAUGGUAAGAAAAAUCAAUUGACCUUCUAAAAUGUGCACUCCUGUGAACCUUUGCAAAAGAAGCCCAUCCGAACGCACAUCCACUCCGUCAAGGCUUUGCAACUCUUUCGGCUUUAUGGGACCAAGAACCGUCACAUCUGAGAGUUGUCUCAAGCUUUGGAAAGGUCUAUUGAUGUUCUUAUUUCCUGGCAAAGUAGGAUAUGUAAAAUGGACAAAACUCCCAGGAAGCCUUGGCAAGAACCUGAGGUUCUUAAAAAUUGAGAACAAGUUUCCUGAGCUUGCAACUCUAAGGACUCCAGACGGCAUAACCUUUCAGUCCACCGAGGAUCAUGGAGCUUCCUUAAGUCCGUGACCGUCGUAAUAAUACCUCGACACAUAUAAACGCAAGCAUCUCGGAUUUAAUAGGCACAGGAGAUCUGGAAAUGUGUACAUUGAGAAAAUUACAAGCACAGGUUAAUUCCAAGCCCAUGGCACCAUAGAAUUUUUCCCAUGACAAGAUUAAUUACUAAUUGCACCCGCUAAAAAUUUUAGAAGUAGGGCCACAACAGACCCAAAAAAGAAGAAAGAAAGUGCAGAACCGAUCGAUUACAGUAAGCUUUCACGCCUUCCAGGACAAUAGUUCGGUUUUAGCUCGACCUUGACAAGCUCAGAAGAACAACUGAUUCCCCAUGUAUGUUUUGAACUAGUUCCUAAGGAGCGAAAAUCAAUCCCCUGAUUGGUGCAGAAGUGAACUGACGCACAGGAGUUGCGAUGUGUUUCAAUGCAUGUGACCUUGUUAAGGCAAGCUAUUAAAGAUUAGAUGCAGAUGGAACAAAAUCAAUCGAGUCAGCUGCCGAGUGAGUUCAUUGGAAGGCUGUUUUUAUUGUGUAUGAAUGGUAAGUCAUGACUGAAAAUAAUGAAAACAACUCAAUCCGUUCCGAAUCUUUUCCUAAUCGAUCACUGAUUGCAUCAAAGAUUCGCAAGCGGACCCAAUUCAUGCCAAUGUGAAGAGAGAAAAUUACCAGAAAACCAAAUAAAGAUGGGGAGAAGGAAAAAGCAAGACUUUUUUCUAGAGAACAUAUUCAACUCUCGUGGAACAAAUCAGCGGGCAGGAAGACAGGGGUCGCAGUCCCUGGAGGGAUAUCUCCGCCAGGUUGGAUCGCGUCUUGUGAUGCCACUCGGGGUUGCCGUUGCAUUCCUUGAUGGCCAGUGUCUGUUGCUGCUGGUUCUGGUCGAGCUUCUCUCUUGGGACAUCACUGAUGAGGAAGGAAGAUGAAGGGAGGAGAAGGUGAGAAGGUGUUGUUUUGGGGGGGUAGGAGCAACGGGAGAAAAAAGAAAGAGAGCUUCAAAAAAGGGGGGAGAGAGAGAGAGACCUUGACGGCUUCAAGGUAAAAGAGAGGAAUCCCUAACCCUUUUAAUUCUACUGUCUCCAUAUAACUGCAUGUCGAAUAGAUGAAAUUUCCAUCCGCGGAUCUAUCCUUGGAGGCAACUCCAGUGAUUCCUCGAGCACCUUGGUCAGGUGCAACUCCAGUGAUUCCUUAAGCACCUUGAUCAGGUUAGAAAACUUCUUUGGAGGCAACUCCAGUGAUUCCUUGAGCACCUUGGUCAGGUUAGACAACUUCGCUGGCAACAGUUCUAACAACUUUUGCGAAGAUUUGCAGCAAUCAAUAUGAAGCUUCUCCAAUGAUUUUGGCCUAUGUUGAACCUCAACCAGAUGAGGUAGCUUCGCACAGCCUUCUACGGUGACAUGUUUGAUAUUCUUGACGUUUGAUGGAAACUUUUCGAGUGAUUCACAGGACAUUAAAUAAAGCUUCUCCAACGAUUCUUGCUGAUCUCCUACCUCAAUCAGUUUAGGACAUAGUGAUAUAGUAAGUACCCCCAGCUUCUUCAAGUGGGUCAGGUCGGGCAACUUCACCAGUGAAGGAAGAUGGCAAAGAUAAAGCCAUUUCAUGUUUUCCAAAUUUUCAAGGCCUUGAAUCUCUGUUAGCUGUUCACAAUUACGUACUUCCAAUUCUGAUAACUUCUUCAAAUAUGAAAGAUCUCCAGACUUUUCCAUUGACUUGCACCCACAAAUACUUAAGUAUGACAAAUGCUGGGGAAACCUAUGUAGGCAUUCUAGUUUAUUUCCAACAAGUUCAAGCUUCUCGAGCUUCGAAAAGAGAUUAAGAUCUAAAGGUAUGGAGACCAGACUAUGCCAACUCAACAGCAAGGAAGUUAGCUUUCUUAAACCUCCGAUCCAGUUGAGGCUUGGAGUUGGAUGGAACGAGAAUUCAGACUUUAAAUCCAACUUCAAAACUCUCAAAUUUAAUAGGUUAGAGAGAUCUGGGUAUUCCUUAAAUGGACCAAUUGUAAGGUGUAGAUUGGUCAUACUUUCAGGAAGCUUAGGUACAUCAGAAAUUCUUGUGUUCAGUAACAUCAAGAUCCUCAGAAAUGAUAAUCUUCCGAUCUCCCUAGGAAUUUCCCCAAGGAAAUUUCUACAGUCACGAGCAUAGAUCUCUUCAAGCUUCUCCAACAUCCCAAGGGCACUAGGUAGCCUUUUUAAGGGGGUGUGUGACACCCUUAGUACUCUCAAAUACUUCAUUUUCUCUAUUGAACUGGGUAACUCUUGAAUUUUCGACUGAGAAAGAUUCAACUCAACAAGAGAUGCAAAAUUUCCAAACGGAAGCACAGUAAUAUUUGUACCUCCCAACCUUAGAUUCAAUAUUGAUGUUAAGCAACCAGAAAAAUUGCACAUGCUCAGUGAUUCACAUGAACUUGCACUGAGAGUUUCCAAUUUCUUCAUUCCUUUCCAUUCAGGAAUUUCGGUAAUGGAUGUCCCAUCAAUAAUAAGUUCCCUUAAGGCUUCCAGUUCCUCCAUCUUGUCCGGCAAUGUCUGAAGUUUCCUACAACCUCCCAAGUUUAAUGAUACUAAAUGAUUUAACUUAUUAAUAGAGCUAUCAACUUGAACCAGUUCCGUGCACCCUUGAAGAAUCAGUUGCUCUAAAUUUUCAUGAGCAGAAAGGUCAGGAGUUCUACGCAAGUAUCUGCAUCCAGUCAAAUUUAAAACCUUCAAAUCCUCUGCCAUCUGUAAUGAAGAGAAGAAGUUAAUUCUGCAUCAUUUUGAGAUACAUGACAACAAAGUCAAUAUAGCAAAUUCAUGUUCAGAGAAUACCAUACCUUGAGGUGGUUCCAUCCAUCCCACUCAUAUGUAAUUUCACUCCAUGAUACAUCAAGAAUCACUAACUUCCUAGGGGAACAUGCAAUGAACUUGAAAAAGAUAGGAAAGUUAUGCCAUGAGAGCCAUCUCAAUUGUGGAAGCAUGAUCGGAUUCCCCCCGAACCAGUUGGUAGAAUGAAAAUUCAAAAGCAUGAUCGGAUUCCUCAAUAACCAGUUGGCAGAAUGAAAAUGCCGAAUGUUGUUCUCAUCCAAGUCUACACCAUCCACUUGAAGAAAUCUUAAAUUUGGUAGGCUUAUGGAUUCUUCCUUCUCAAUGAAGUCUUGAAAUUGAUGAUCAGAUUUGAGACUUAUUGCUUCAACAUUUUCUCUUCCCUGCCAAAGCAAAAAAAUUAAACAGAAGCUAGUGAUCACAUAAUUGCCUGUUGAAGGCAUUCAAGUUGAGCAUACUUGAGGAAUGUACAUUUUAAAUUAAUAAAAUUAAUUUACAAUAUAAUUUACAGAUAAGCAUGUGGUCCCACUAAGCACACAAGUAAUGACUCGGUUUAGAUAAAAACAAAUAAGCAAAGUCAACGUGUAUAAUUCGUUUCUUUGAAAAGGAUUAACAUUGCAAACACUUUACCUCCUUUGUUUCAAGAACAUCAGUUGCUUUCUCUUGAUCCCACACUCGACUUUGCUUCUCUGGUUUAUAAUCACCAGUCUUACGAACGAAAUCUCGCCCAAGGUCUCUUACAAUAUCAUGCAUCCACAGUCUGUUAUGUUCUGUAAUCUUUAUUAACGACAUCUUUUGGAGGACACUAAGAUAAAAGUCAGGUUGAAACCCACAGCUUUCCCACAUGUGCCUCACAAUUCUCACAUCAAACCCAACGAAGAAGCAACAAACAUCAAGAAAUAUUUUCCCCGCUAAUGGUGGUAAUGCCUUAAUACUGAUGUUCAACUUUUCUUCAACUUUUUCAUCGGGAAUAGUUUCCAGCUUCUUUAAUGUGGUCUCCCAAGAUUUUCUGUCUUCCUCAGCUAAAAGAGAACCUAUGAUCUCAAGAACCAAAGGAAGACCACUGCAGAUUUUUACCGCUUUUUUCGAGAGGCCGACGUAUUCAGCCGGAGCAUGAUCACUUUUAAAGGCAUGUUUGCUAAAUAGUAUAAGGGAACGAUCAAAAUCCAUUUCAAUAACUUGGUGCUUCAUAUCAACAUGUUUGAGAACUUCCUCAUUUCUUGUGGUGAUAAUAACCUUACUUCCUCUGCAAAACCAGCAUUUACCCAUCCCCACAAGAGCAUCCAGCUCAGUCUUUUGGUCGACAUCAUCAAUUACGAGUAAGACCUUUUUAAAGGAUAAACUCUUCUUGACCUCAGUUAUCCCUUCUGCAAUGUCAUGGAUUGGCAGACAUUUCCCUUUUCGGAGAGUAGAGAUGAGCUGAUCCUGCGAACUCAGAAUUCCUUUAUGUCGAACACCAAACAGGAAGCAACAGUCAUCAAAAUUAGCUGACAAUUUAGUAUAGACAAUUCUAGCAAGAGUUGUCUUUCCGACACCACCCAUUCCAUGGAUACCAAUAAUCUUUGUUUCAGAGGUGUCUUCACCUAUCAUUUCCAUGAUCUCGUCCACUUGAUCAUCCAUUUCAACCAAGCAAUCAAGUGCUCCCAAGUAGCUCUUUUUCAACUCGAACAAAACCUUAUCAACAACUUCUUUCAUGAACUCGCCUUUGCCUCUGAUAGUUUCGAAGGCAAAAGAAUCAAACUGUUAAGUCGAGAUGAACAGAAUAAUAUCUACGGUACAAACAAAUCGUGCACAAUAAUAAAUUCAAGUACCUCUUAUUAAGUUCGCAUCCCUUUAAUUUUCCAACCUUGUUGAGAGCUGCCUUCCAGUUCAUAGUCUUAUCAGUGUUUUCAUUUAUGUGUGACUGAAUGGCGUGACCGUAGGUUCCAGUCUGCUUACGAACCAUCCGUGGUUCAACGUCAUAGAAAAUUGGUAUGAUCUUUUGUCCCCACUUUUCCUUGCACUCCACCAUCUGGGCCAAUUCCAUGAGGCACCAUUUACUGGCAGCAUAUCCUUUAGAAAAGAUAGGAAUCAAGAUUUUCAACUGCUUAAUCGCAUGGAGAAGCUCCGGGCCAAUCUCUUCCCCAACGUGAAGCUCUUCAUUAUCUCUAAAUGUUCGUAUUCUGGCAUCAGUGAGGCUGUGGUAAAGGUAAUCAGUGAUGUCGUUGCGAGUAUCUGAUCCUCUGAAGCUCAAGAAUACAUCAUAACAAGGUUCCUUUGGCUCCUCCAUUCCUGAAUUUUCAGAGGACUUUGCUAGGACUUGAUAUGCCACCUGAAAAAUGCUUAUUAUGAAAGUGGAGUGAUGAUGAUCAUGAUUUCUCUCAGAAUUUUUUUUUUCUUUUUUUUUUAAAGUCACUAUAGAAAGACACCUUGAUGACAAAUGCAUGAGCUCCAUCUGCGGCCUUCUAGACAACAAAAUAUAUUUCCUUCCUUUAUAAAAAAUUUAGUAGAGAAGUCAAACCAUCUCAAUUCUAAAGGAAGAAAUCUCCAAAUUAUUGCAGAAUUAUGGGUUUUAAUUCACACUCCAGAUUGAUUGAAAAAAAAAAAAACAUUUCGUGCAAAGAUAAAUCACUGCCAACCUAUAUUUGUCUUAAACUCUUUCUUUAGGUGAUAAAGUAUCCCCUGAAAGGUGAUGUCGAAUGUCCUCUGCACAUAAGCGCCUAAUGUUGCUUGUUGGUUGACUAAUUAUCUUAUUAUCUGAUAAGAAAUUAUGAUCAAACCUUCCUAAUUUCGUUUAACAAAAAUAGAUUUGACAAACAACACUCAUUUAGUUGCUUCCUCAACCUUAACAGUUGCUGGUGAAGAAUUCAUUCCCCUAUGAUGAUCUCACUAGAAUAAUGAAAUCAAGAAAUUACACUAAAGCAAAUGCAACUCUCACCAUAUUGGACUAGUUUCUUAAGAUCAUAAACUGAUCCCUAAUUACAGCCAUCUCAUAGGUUAUCAAAGAACAGAUACACGGUCAUGGGUGAGCAUCAGUUAGGGUUGAAGAUAUUUUCCACACUUGCAAGUACCAGCAUAUUAAAAAAAUGGGAUUUACUCACUAAUCAACUAUGGGGUUAAUAAGAUUUCAACAGAAAAAAUAAAAGCAUGAAUGCUAUAUUACUGUUUUUUUAAAAUAAGUUGGAAAACACAGGAGUGUAGGGAUGAGAGCCGCAUUUUAUGAAAGCAGAGAGUUCUGGUUCACCACAGAGUGCAACAGUAUAGUGUAUUCAGUCCGUCUCUACUGUUAAAUACAGAGUUGAGGGUAUCAAUUUUCUGCCUAGAAGCGUUCUUACUGCUAAUCACUAGACAAUAAUGUACGAAUUUGUCAUAUCAAAGUCUCUUAAAGAUACCACCAUCACUAUUCGCACAAAAAAAAAAAAUCCCAUCAAAAAAUGAAAUCAACAGAUCCACUCUAACAAAUUUAGCUUUUAGCGCCAGCAAUCCACGCGAAAACUCAGAGAGAGAGAGAGAGAGAGAGAGAGAGAGAGAGAGAGUACGUGGGUGACGAGCUCGUAAGACUGAGCGUUGUCGAUGAUGGAACCGGACUUGCCUCUGCCUUCGCUGCCACCGCCGCCCUUCCUCCUCUUCUUCUUCUCGCCGCUCCUCUUCUUCAGCUUGUAGUCGCGAGGGCCGCCGCCGCCGCCGCCGCCGCCGCCUUUGAGGAGCUCACUCCGAGGCUCGACACUGCUCGCGUCCGCUUCAGCUUCAUGCCGUCUCUUCUUCUUCGCCACUCCCGCUCUCCGAUAUCAGAAAGUUUCGACUUUUCGACAUGGUACGAGGUCGACUGGUCAAGGGUUUAGGCGUCGAUCUUGGUGGUGGUAUUGCGUUUCGGGAUCUGAGGCCCGACACUUGCACAGAUGGAAGCAGAUGAGCAAGGUUUUAGCACCGGACUAGAGUCAGAGGCUAAAGCUAUUAGUGUUAGACGCAACUGACUGUGAUCAGUCAUGAAGUCAACUGAGAAAGAAUUGAUACUGAUCUGAGAGCCCUCUCUUGUUUCCAUCAAAUUCUGCAUCUAGUUGCCUUACAGAACAGACCCAAUUCAUUAUGAAGAAGGCAAUCAACGAGAGGAAAUUACCGGAGAUGGAGGGGGUGAAGAUGAAAGGUCCGGAUCAAAUGCUGAGAAGCAGAUAAAAGAUCCCAA